RNAcentral lists this long non-coding RNA (341 nucleotides) under Felis catus (domestic cat). Its description in RNAcentral is "lncRNA (ENSFCAG00000053331.1)". Lineage: Eukaryota; Metazoa; Chordata; Mammalia; Carnivora; Felidae. The record is from RNAcentral.
GUGGAAAAACACCUUUGUUCAAUACUGCUCUUUCCUGCAUCCUUGACAGAUAUAUGAGUAAAACUUCAGAUACUCUCUUUGGACGCGGUUCCAGGCCACCACCCACUGUCCGCUGGAGAUGACCCAGGAGUUGAACCCUGUUUGCCCUUUGUUGUCCGCGUAAAGCUGUAUAGGUUGAGAACAGGACGGAGUAGCAAAGAAAGCAUUUCGGUGCAUGGAAAAUGGAGGUUGAGAUCACUGCACUCAAAUCAAGAUAUUUGUGGUCUUACUGCGGUUCAGUCAUUCCCUGGAUAUAUGCACUACCCUCUCUAAUUCCUCAUGUUCCUCAGCUGUAUGAAGUC